RNAcentral lists this ribosomal RNA (621 nucleotides) under uncultured bacterium. Its description in RNAcentral is "bacterial SSU rRNA". It matches the Rfam family "Bacterial small subunit ribosomal RNA", at positions 338 to 964 of the family's 1533-position model. The record is from RNAcentral.
CCUACGGGAGGGCAGCAGUAAGGAAGUAUUGGUCAAUGGGCGCAAGCCUGAACCAGCCAUGCCGCGUGCAGGAAGACGGCCCUAUGGGUUGUAAACUGCUUUUGAACAAGAGAAAACCUCGGUACGUGUACCGAGCUGAUAGUAUUGUUAGAAUAAGCAUCGGCUAACUUCGUGCCAGCAGCCGCGGUAAGACGAAGGAUGCAAGCGUUAUCCGGAUUCAUUGGGUUUAAAGGGUGCGUAGGCGGCCUGAUAAGUCAGUGGUGAAAUCUCUCAGCUUAACUGAGAAACUGCCAUUGAUACUGUCGGGCUUGAGUACAGAUGAUGUGGGCGGAAUAUGACAUGUAGUGGUGAAAUACUUAGAUAUGUCAUAGAACACCGAUUGCGAAGGCAGCUCACAAAACUGUAACUGACGCUGAGGCACGAAAGUGCGGGGAUCAAACAGGAUUAGAUACCCUGGUAGUCCGCACCGUAAACGAUGAUUACUCGUUGUUGGCAAUAUGACCGUCAGCGACCAAGCGAAAGCGAUAAGAAUCACCUGGGGAGUACGCCGGNAACGGUUGAAAACGUCGAAAAGAGAGUAGACGACGNGAGGAGNGCGACGACGACGACGAGGGGAGGAGG